Drosophila nasuta is the source of this 1158-nucleotide long non-coding RNA. RefSeq lists it as uncharacterized. The record is from RefSeq and is a predicted model, not a curated record. Lineage: Eukaryota; Metazoa; Arthropoda; Insecta; Diptera; Drosophilidae. The transcript is spliced from 4 exons.
UUAUACUUCAAUUGUUUGGUUGUGGAAAAAAUUUCUAAUCUAAUAUGUGGGCGCGUCUUUUUACUGAAUGCAAAUGCAGCCGAGUCAACAAAUUUUUGAUUCCUUUACCGAAUUAUGAAACUCCGCUUCAUAUUCCAAUGCCAGAGUCGAGAGUGCACGAAAAGCAAAACAGCGCGUCUCUAAAAUCUAGGUGUUAAUACAGUCGGACGGACGGACGGAGAGACGGACACGGCUGAGUCGUCUCGUUUGUUGAAACUGCGGGCACAAUGCUAUAAUACCCUUGUAUCCUAUGGGUAGCGGGUAUAAAAAUAUUAUUUUAAAAUCUAUAAAAAUGAGAAAAGAAAAGGAUAUGUAAUGCUUGCUGUACAAAUUAAUUAAAGAGCUGCGUACUUCAUAUUUUGCUUUUGACUUUAUUAUUAACUAAAGUUGGCUUAGAAUUUUGUAUCUCUUUUCCGUUCAAUUGAAAUAAUGCAGAUAAUCAUAUUGGUUGCGUUUAAUUUUGUAGACAAGCACAACCAUAAAAGAACAAAUUUAUUAACACGUAAUGAUAAUAUUCAAGAAUGUCCACUAAAAAGUAGCCACAUCAUCUGCGACUCCAACAACAGCCGAAUCGAUGAAGACAUGUCUGUGUCAACACUUCAAUAGCGAAUUUUAUUUCAAAAGCGGACAACAUAGCUGAAACACUGACCUAGUUUGCGGCACAACAGGGUUUGUUGCAAAUCCUCCCUUUUUCCUCUAAUAUUAACAAUUUAUUCAGACAUCGUCGUAAAACCUUUCCCAUCCAAUAUAGCGAUGGACUGAGCCACAGACAUUCGUGUGCCAGGCUCAGCAUAUCAAAAUCACCUAGAUUUUUCCUCGAAAGAAUCAUAAAUGCGUUCUCGUCUACCUGUGCGCUAUAUGAAGGUAAUCUAGAUCGUAGUCAGUCGGGCUAAUGCAACAUUUUCUGGUAGAGCACUUACAAAACAAAUGUUCAGAACAGUCACUGAGCAGAAUCCUGAAUUUAAGAAUUUAAGCAGUGGACACUUUACUGAACAAAGUCUCGAAAAGUCAUUACGUGACAUGUCACCCAAUAUAUUAUAUACAAUUAUUGUAUACAUAGUUAUAUAAUAUACAAUUUACAUGAUUCAGUUAUCCCAUUAAAAUUAAAAAUUAAAAGUU